Molecule: ribosomal RNA, 100 nt
Filed under: uncultured bacterium
Lineage: Bacteria
Description: partial 16S ribosomal RNA
Rfam family: Bacterial small subunit ribosomal RNA
Source: RNAcentral
CAACGCCGCGUGCAGGACGACGGCCUUCGGGUUGUAAACUGCUUUCUGUGGGACGAGACACGGACGGUACCACAGGAAGAAGCCCCGGCUAACUACGUGC